Molecule: ribosomal RNA, 253 nt
Filed under: uncultured bacterium
Lineage: Bacteria
Description: partial 16S ribosomal RNA
Rfam family: Bacterial small subunit ribosomal RNA
Source: RNAcentral
UACGGGGGGGGGAAGCGUUGUUCGGAAUUACUGGGCGUAAAGGGCUCGUAGGCGGCCAACUAAGUCACACGUGAAAUCCCUCAGCUUAACUGGGGAACUGCGUGUGAUACUGGAUGGCUUGGAUUUGGGAGAGGGAUGCGGAAUUCCAGGUGUAGCGGUGAAAUGCGUAGAUAUCUGGAGGAACACCGGUGGCGAAGGCGGCAUCCUGGACCAAUAUUGACGCUGAGGAGCGAAAGCCAGGGGAGCAAACAGG